GACGAAGUACAACUCUCGGAUUUCGAGAAUUCACUUCCUUACAUAUAACACAAUGCCUGUCGAAAUAUUUUACGCAUUUCUAAAAUAUGAAGCAUAUCUUAAUACCUUCAUAUAUAAUAUCCAAUCUUAUCUCAUCAUAAUACUUAUCAAACAAUAUAUAGAGCAUAUCUUUUUUUGGUAGCAUAGCUAUCACGCCCCGCGACCGCCAGUUUGGUCGGUUCGGGCACGUCGAUCAGACGUCGAACGGACAGCACCUCUCCUGUCCGCCCAAGGCUAAACAACAAAGUCAUGUACAUC
RNAcentral lists this long non-coding RNA (297 nucleotides) under Ananas comosus (pineapple). RNAcentral describes it as "long non-coding RNA (ACOM_LNC011810)". The record is from RNAcentral. Lineage: Eukaryota; Viridiplantae; Streptophyta; Magnoliopsida; Poales; Bromeliaceae.